This is a non-coding RNA of Myripristis murdjan (pinecone soldierfish), 710 nucleotides long. The record is from the annotation of a RefSeq genome assembly. NCBI's taxonomy places the organism in Eukaryota, Metazoa, Chordata, Actinopteri, Holocentriformes, Holocentridae.
CGUUAGAAAGCACGCCGCCCUCAUGUGAUGUCAGCGGCCGUCCUUAUUUGGCCUCGGCUGAAUCGGAGCCCCACUUGUACCCAGCUUCAACAGAGGAAACCUCACUGGACAAAAUGCUUUCACUGCCAAGUGUUGCUCUGUGCUCUCUGUGUUUAGCAGGGGUUGCCAUGGCAGAACAGCUGGAUCAGGACCAGUUAUCACUGACCAGCAGCACCAAUGAGAAAGUCUCCUUCAGAUGUACAGGAACUGACCUGUGUAACGUCUAUGUGUUCUGGUACCAGAAGAAAGAGACAGAAACAUUCAAAGUGAUUCUUCGCAUUAAUGUGAAUGACGGUACAGUUAAUAACCGUUUCAACCAUCCUCAAAAAGAUGAUUUCUCAGCUAAAGGGAGAGGCAGCAGCUGUGAGUUGGUGAUCGACAAAGUAAAAGCCUCCCAUGAAGCCACCUACUACUGUGCCUGUUAUGAUUCCCACAGUGAGAAGUGUUGGCUCGUCGCUGUACAAAAACUCUGCAGCGUUAACCAAGAAAUGAACAGAUGGCAAACCCUGUUUACCACAGGAAGAGAGCUUGAUUUGAGCCCAGCUUCACAUAUUUCAGCUCCCAUCUCAGCUGUCAUCUGGUUCUUCCAGGACACUGCUGAAGCCACACAAACGGCUCUGAGCUCUGAAGCUUUGCUUUACAUUGUGUCGUUUUGAGCAUGAUGUUAAAUG